This is a long non-coding RNA of Lycium ferocissimum, 248 nucleotides long. RefSeq lists it as uncharacterized. Lineage: Eukaryota; Viridiplantae; Streptophyta; Magnoliopsida; Solanales; Solanaceae. The record is from RefSeq and is a predicted model, not a curated record. The transcript has 3 exons.
UGCUAGUCACCGUCGCCACCUUCCAGUCACCGUCGCCGCCGUAUGCCGUUGCCGUCGCCGGCCUAUCUGUCAAUUUGAGUUCUAGUAGUAGUCGGAAUGCGUAGCUGGCUCCUCCGCGUCGAUCGAGCUAAUGAAUGAUGGGAAGGGAAUUAACAAAAGUAGCGCUUUCUAAGUUCUAAGAUGACAGGGAAGGGGAAGAGGCCAGGAAAGGGAGGGAAUCGAUACUUUAAGAGUAUUUGUUUGUAUUU